Molecule: ribosomal RNA, 471 nt
Filed under: uncultured organism
Description: partial 16S ribosomal RNA
Rfam family: Bacterial small subunit ribosomal RNA
Source: RNAcentral
ACACUCCUGCGGGAGGCAGCAGUGGGGAAUUUUGGACAAUGGGCGAAAGCCUGAUCCAGCAAUGCCGCGUGAGUGAAGAAGGCCUUCGGGUUGUAAAGCUCUUUUGUCAGGGAAGAAACGGUGAAAGCUAAUAUCUUUUGCUAAUGACGGUACCUGAAGAAUAAGCACCGGCUAACUACGUGCCAGCAGCCGCGGUAAUACGUAGGGUGCAAGCGUUAAUCGGAAUUACUGGGCGUAAAGCGUGCGCAGGCGGUUUUGUAAGUCUGAUGUGAAAUCCCCGGGCUCAACCUGGGAAUUGCAUUGGAGACUGCAAGGCUAGAAUCUGGCAGAGGGGGGUAGAAUUCCACGUGUAGCAGUGAAAUGCGUAGAUAUGUGGAGGAACACCGAUGGCGAAGGCAGCCCCCUGGGUCAAGAUUGACGCUCAUGCACGAAAGCGUGGGGAGCAAACAGGAUUAGAAACCCUAGUAGUCC